Molecule: ribosomal RNA, 539 nt
Filed under: uncultured bacterium
Lineage: Bacteria
Description: bacterial SSU rRNA
Rfam family: Bacterial small subunit ribosomal RNA
Source: RNAcentral
UCUCCUACGGGGNNCAGCAGUGGGGAAUAUUGCACAAUGGGCGCAAGCCUGAUGCAGCCAUGCCGCGUGUAUGAAGAAGGCCUUCGGGUUGUAAAGUACUUUCAGUCGUGAGGAAGGUGGUGUUGUUAAUAGCAGCAUCAUUUGACGUUAGCGACAGAAGAAGCACCGGCUAACUCCGUGCCAGCAGCCGCGGUAAUACGGAGGGUGCGAGCGUUAAUCGGAAUUACUGGGCGUAAAGCGCAUGCAGGUGGUUCGUUAAGUCAGAUGUGAAAGCCCGGGGCUCAACCUCGGAACUGCAUUUGAAACUGGCGGACUAGAGUACUGUAGAGGGGGGUAGAAUUUCAGGUGUAGCGGUGAAAUGCGUAGAGAUCUGAAGGAAUACCAGUGGCGAAGGCGGCCCCCUGGACAGAUACUGACACUCAGAUGCGAAAGCGUGGGGAGCAAACAGGAUUAGAUACCCUGGUAGUCCACGCCGUAAACGAUGUCUACUUGGAGGUUGUGGCCUUGAGCCGUGGCUUUCGGAGCUAACGCGUAAAGUA